Long non-coding RNA from Myxocyprinus asiaticus (Chinese sucker), 2156 nucleotides. RefSeq lists it as uncharacterized. Lineage: Eukaryota; Metazoa; Chordata; Actinopteri; Cypriniformes; Catostomidae. The transcript is spliced from 3 exons. The record is from RefSeq and is a predicted model, not a curated record.
UGUCAUAUUGCAUUCAACUGUACAUAUAACACAGUGCUUGUGUCUGUAUAUAUAUUGCAAUAUCCUCCAAGUGUCCCGUUUGAGACUUUCAAAAUCUGGUCACCCUACUUAGAAGUUAAAAAAAAAAAAAUGCUUAAAUUUGACCUGAACUUUGUUACAGGGUAGAAGACUCACAUCUUCUUCAAACACUUGUGUCCUAGUGUGACUUUGAAACAAUGCUGACCACCAACAUGAUCAACGUCGGCAAAUCUGACGUAGUGAAUUGUGCUCUGCUGCGUGCCUUUGGCCAUGCAAGGUUUGACCCUCAGAAGAAAAUCAGUGUUAUCUUUAUGGAUGAUGAUGGUCAAGGAGAGGGAGCUCCUUGAUGGUGGACCAAUGCAUGAAUUUUUACAUCUCUUGCUAAUAGACAUUAGAAGGUGCACAAUAUUUCAAGGACCUGACAACCAGAAACAUUUGUCAUUAGAUGUAAAUGCACUGCAUACAGGGCUCUACAGUCUUGUAGCGAAGAUGACUUCAGUGUGCCUAAUUCACGGAGGGGUUGCUCUCCAUUUCUUCUCAGACAGGCUAUUUAACUGGAUUUCUGGAAAACCCACAGGCCCUGCUAGUCUCACAGAUAUUGGAGACCAAGAUGUCUGAGAAAGACUGCAAAAAAUAAAGAAUGCAGAGACAAUUGUUAAAGCAAGAGAGGCCAAUCUUCAGGCUUCUGAGACCCUCACAGUCCUGGGGACAAUGCACCACAUUACCUCCAUGGAGGAGAGGGACAGCUUAGUAACACACUCUAUCCAGCAGUAUGAAGAGGGACGUGUACAAAUGGGAUUUCAACAGUGAUAACAAACAUUGUAUUUUCCCUAAUGAUUUAUAAUGCAAAGUGAGUGCUAAUACAUAGGUUUUGUCUUUAUGGGUUAUGUUUCACUGUACAGAUUCAUGGAAGGUCUGGGAACACUCGGACUGGCUGAGGCCAUCAAAGCCCAUCCAGCACAAUUUAAACCCUUGCUUGUGGAAAACACACAGCAACUAAAUGCAGAGGACUUGAUUAAUCUAUUUCAGCCUGUGCUGUCCAUAGUUGGGAGUAGCCGGCGCAGAGAGGAAAGCAGCUAUGCUAUGCUACUGGAGAGACUGGUUGAUUGAAAUAGAAGGUAACUCACAAAAAUGUUUUUUAGGGUUUGUACAGUUGUACAGUUUUUACCUUGAAUCUCAAAAGAGAACUCAUUCCUUGUUGUUAUUUCCCAUUAUUUUCCCAUUCCCGUUAACUGACGUUGACGUCACUUCACGUGGGUCACCCGCCAUGUAAGACGCUCAAAGUACAAAACGUUCUAUUAGGCGUUCAGUCGGUCGGUCGAACGCUUCCGUGCCAAAAUUAAGCGUCCGACCGACCGACCGAUCGAACGCAUAACCGAACGUGUAAGUGUCUUACAUGCCGGGUGACCCACGUGACGUGACGUCAACGUCUUGAAAUUAGCUUGUUUUUAACUAGGUAAGGGUCCAAGCUGUUGUUUAAAGACAACAAAUGUACAAUACAGGCACUAGAUGUAGAUACUGUAUUCCUAAAACAAUACUCAACCAUUUUUUUCCUGCAUCCUGCUGUACUUCCCUCAAUAAGCAGUCAGAGGAAGGUGUUGUAGGCUAUUCUAAGUCAUUCUGAGUGAUGACCUGAUAGCUAUAUAAAAAAAAGCUACCACCUGUCUGUCAUGACUUUCUCUGAUAAUUUUGAAAGAAACUUACAUACCACAUUCCAUGACAAGGUUCUAAAACUCUGUUUUCAUUUUUCAAAGGCAACGUGUGUUUAUGAGUCUGUGUGUGCUUGUGAGUUGCUUAAAGAGAGCAAAUAUAGUGUACAUACUUUCUUAAUUCAUUUCUUUCUAUUUUUUUUAUAUUAUUUUAUUAUUCAUACAUAUAUCAAUUUUAUAUAAACAUUUUUUACUCAUUUUUAAUAUUGUUAUUUGUCAAAUUCCUUAAUUUUAUGUUGUGUGCUAUAUUGUCUCACAAGUUAGAGAUAAAGAGUUUCAAUUUCAAGGUCUUCUGUGUCAUGGGACGAUGUUGUGAAGAAGUAAUUGUCCAUUGACUUCGCAUGGUAUAGUAACACUUGUUGAAUUAGUGCUGGUCAGACUGAGCACUGAGAAAGAUGCAAUUAAGUUUAUUCAAUAAACUCUACUCAU